AUUGAACGCUGGCGGCAGGCCUAACACAUGCAAGUCGAGCGGAUGAAGGGAGCUUGCUCCUGGAUUCAGCGGCGGACGGGUGAGUAAUGCCUAGGAAUCUGCCUGGUAGUGGGGGAUAACGUCCGGAAACGGGCGCUAAUACCGCAUACGUCCUGAGGGAGAAAGUGGGGGAUCUUCGGACCUCACGCUAUCAGAUGAGCCUAGGUCGGAUUAGCUAGUUGGUGUGGUAAAGGCCUACCAAGGCGACGAUCCGUAACUGGUCUGAGAGGAUGAUCAGUCACACUGGAACUGAGACACGGUCCAGACUCCUACGGGAGGCAGCAGUGGGGAAUAUUGGACAAUGGGCGAAAGCCUGAUCCAGCCAUGCUGCGUGUGUGAAGAAGGUCUUCGGAUUGUAAAGCACUUUAAGUUGGGAGGAAGGGCAGUAAGUUAAUACCUUGCUGUUUUGACGUUACCAACAGAAUAAGCACCGGCUAACUUCGUG
RNAcentral lists this ribosomal RNA (484 nucleotides) under uncultured bacterium. Its description in RNAcentral is "partial 16S ribosomal RNA". It matches the Rfam family "Bacterial small subunit ribosomal RNA", at positions 30 to 507 of the family's 1533-position model. The record is from RNAcentral.